This 147-nucleotide ribosomal RNA is filed under the name Septoria scabiosicola. RNAcentral describes it as "5.8S ribosomal RNA". It matches the Rfam family "5.8S ribosomal RNA". From Rfam's summary of the family: 5.8S ribosomal RNA (5.8S rRNA) is a component of the large subunit of the eukaryotic ribosome. It is transcribed by RNA polymerase I as part of the 45S precursor that also contains 18S and 28S rRNA. The record is from RNAcentral. Lineage: Eukaryota; Fungi; Ascomycota; Dothideomycetes; Mycosphaerellales; Mycosphaerellaceae. RNAcentral also lists the same sequence under 8 other names.
CAACAACGGAUCUCUUGGUUCUGGCAUCGAUGAAGAACGCAGCGAAAUGCGAUAAGUAAUGUGAAUUGCAGAAUUCAGUGAAUCAUCGAAUCUUUGAACGCACAUUGCGCCCUUUGGUAUUCCGAAGGGCAUGCCUGUUCGAGCGUC